Molecule: long non-coding RNA, 1754 nt
Organism: Esox lucius (northern pike)
Lineage: Eukaryota; Metazoa; Chordata; Actinopteri; Esociformes; Esocidae
Source: Ensembl
GGGAUCUCAGACUAAUUGGCAUGCCAGAAAAAGAGAAAGAAGACACAAGGGAAAUAGUGAUUGGAAUCCUUACUCGGGUAAUUCCGCUGUCUGUGGAGAAACUUCGGGGUUCGGUGGACACAGUGCAUCGUUUAGGAAAGAGGAACGACGCCGCUACUAACAGGUUACCCAGGCCGGUGAUCAUCAAGUUCGCAAUGCGGACUGUUUGUGGCGAAGUGUGGAAAAGAUCGAGAGAGGCAAGAGUAUGUAAAGAGAUGAACAUCCAGUUCAAAUAAGAUUUUUCAAAGGAAGAUCGCGAAGCUCGUGCUAAGUUGUGGCCGAGAGUGCAAGAAGCCAGGAAAAAGGGGAAAAGAGCAUUCCUAAAAGAAGGCUAUGCACUCAUUGAUGGACUGAGAGUUGACCCAUAGCUGUUGAUCAUGAAUUAUCCAGAAAACCUAUUAGAUCCUCCUCCUGCUUCCCUUCUCCACUAUGCCUUUCCCCUGACCCCUCCCAACUACUCCGUCGGCACACCAGCUGAUGGACAUUAGUUGAUGGAUCUGGGGACUGCUUUUCGAGGAGCGGGUUGCCAUGGAAACAGACGUCAUCACCCUCCCAACUCUCCACCCCUUCACCAACUUGAUCGGCAGUCCCUGAGAGACAAAACAGCUAUCUUAACCCUUCUGAUGCAGAGCACACAAAUGCGUGUAACACACUCAUGCAAAUGCUUUAAUUCCUUCAUAAGCACAUACAAACCCAAAUAAUCUGUCCUGACCCUCAUUUACUACGGAUUAUUCAAAAUAAUUUACACACACUCACUCCUACACAUGUACAGUAUACACAGAAAAACUCUGGGAUGUUAUAAUAAGAACAAACAACAAAUAAAUGUACAGAAUGAUGAGCCAGGAGAAGUAUGUGAAAAAGUUAGUUUAUCGGAGUAGCAUUGUCAAUGUGGACGCUUUCCCAGAUUGUAAUGUUUCUCUUUUUAAUGUUAUUUUCUAUGUAAAAAAAAUAGAUUUAAAAAUGAAACAUAAAAUAAAUGUUUAAUAGACUCACUACCAUUGCUGCAAACAAACUGGAAAAACUAUUUCAGACAGGAAAGAGUUAUAGGCAGUCUGGUGUCAGUGGGUGUGGGUCAUGGUCUGACAGUAUCUGGGGUUGUGGGAAGAGUAGGGGGUAAUCCAAAUGAAUGAUCUAUUCUGUUGUAGAGAUGAAAUUCAUUUCUUACGUAAAAAAGAAAUCUAGUCUAGUUGUGUCACUGUUUAGAUAUACCAGUAAGGCCAGGUAUUUACAAAUGUUUGCUUUUCCCUUUUCUUUCGCUGUGUUUUUUGUUUAUAGUCAUUUGUUUAUGAUUCUGAAUGUUUGAUUUGACCUGAGUACAUUUUCAUGGUACAAAUAUUAUUGUAUUCGACCUGUUUUAUCCCUUUUCCGCAGAGCACUUCGUUUCAGUUGUCAUGUAUAUUUAGUCUCAAAUACCAGCAGUAAGGGUGUGAGGAGAAAAAGUGUGAAAUGCAAUUGUGGAUAUUUUUGUAUUUUCCAUCAUUUGGUCAUAUUUGUUUUGCUUUUUCUGCUCCGUUUCCUAAUUUGAUAUUAUAACGUUAAUAUUUAUAUGAAAAAAAGCUGUUAGAUCAGUUGAAUGUUAUUUUUUUUUCUUUAUUCAUGUUUGUAAAUGUGGCAGCGUGCUUUCGUUUAGUCAAAGAAAAAAAUUACUUUCAUUUGUCUGACUUUGACCAGCAUUUUGUAAACUUCAAUGAACAACAUCUUACGGUUUGAAGGGG